UGGAUUGAACAUUUGAUCGAGAAAUUUGGGUGAUUGCAGGUCUUCAAAGUUGUACCAUGAGUUGUCUAGCAUAGGAAUUGGUUCACUGUAGCUCCCAAAAGAUUGCAUUAGUGACACAUCGUCAUCAAAUUGAUCAGAAAAUGAGGAAGACAUUGAUGAUGACGGUGAGGGAGAUGAGGAAAAGAAAGAGGGAAGAGGUGGUGAUGAUGCUGAUGGUGUGGUGGCCGGGGAUGUGGAGGAGGUGUUGGUGGUUGUUGUUGCUUUUGUGGUGGUGG
Molecule: unclassified non-coding RNA, 275 nt
Filed under: Hevea brasiliensis (rubber tree)
Lineage: Eukaryota; Viridiplantae; Streptophyta; Magnoliopsida; Malpighiales; Euphorbiaceae
Source: RNAcentral